GAACGGAUAAGUAAAUUGAAUUCACAACUUAUAAAUCACAACUGAAGGUAAUCAAUUCAUAUUACAAAUAUAAUCAUGGUUUCGAAUUAACCUCUAACCAACAUAAAUUUAAUUACACAUUAUUAAAAACAGAAAUAAAAUAGGAGUUUGGAAAGAUUAAACCGAAAGAAGGUGAUCUGCUGCUUUCGCGCCCGUGUGAACUGCGCCUCGCUGGUUUUUCCGCGUUUUCAUGCUUUGCGUCAGUCUCAGCUGCAAGGGCAGUUUCCCCCGUGCUCACCUCUCUCCAUACUCACCAUGCCGUGCUCACCUUUGGACUGCUUCUUUCCCCGCGCCUGUCCUGCCCUCUCUAGUCCGUGCCUUCCUUCUCCUCUGCGCAGUCCUCGGGCAGCUUCCCGUGAUUUCCCCCACGCCUGCCUUCUUGUUUCUGCCUUGUCUUCUUUCACCCCCGCAUGUCCUGCCCUUUCACCUGCCCUUUGACCUCUCUCCUGCUUCUCCCUUUUUCGCUGCCAAGGGCAGCUUUCUUCCCCCUAUCCUGCAAAGCCCCCCCGUCCUCUCCGCUUGUCUCUGCGAGCU
This 573-nucleotide long non-coding RNA is filed under the name Malus domestica (apple). RNAcentral describes it as "long non-coding RNA (MDOM_LNC019221)". The record is from RNAcentral. Lineage: Eukaryota; Viridiplantae; Streptophyta; Magnoliopsida; Rosales; Rosaceae.